UAUCAUAUUAAUGUAUUAAGAUAUUAAGUGAGGAAGUAAAGUUGCAUUCAUAGGCCUUGAACUUUUCCACAUCUCGAUUUUUACCCAUCAUCUCUGCAUAUUUUCCUAAGGCAGCCUUCAAAUGGUGAUGUUUCCUGUCAUCCAGAGUUCAGAAGUGCCUUCUCUUCAACCUUUCUGUGGAAUUCUAAACCACGUGAUAAAGGAGCUGGUGCUGUCCUGGGUGGCAUGAGAACCAUGAGCUGAGGAUUGGACAAGCUUGCUCUACAAUAUUCAAAGAGCCAGAUUUCCUUCUGCACCAGAGCCUGUGGAAGCGCCACAGCGGAAGCACAGAGACUGGAAGAGCAGGCCACAGAUCAGCCCUGGGGUUCAGAGGGAUCCUGACGGCUACUCCUCAAGAUCCUCUCUGUUGUGAUUCAUCCCCCCCAGGCCCUACAGUUUCUCCUUCCUGACUCUUACAUUUCUUUGGAUGGCAUCACUAUUUACCUGUCUCCUCCCAUAGUUAGUUGCCAAGCACUGUGGAUUCUACCCCUCAGGGUCCAGACA
RNAcentral lists this non-coding RNA (543 nucleotides) under Pongo abelii (Sumatran orangutan). The record is from RNAcentral. Lineage: Eukaryota; Metazoa; Chordata; Mammalia; Primates; Hominidae.